CGGUAAGGGAAUCAACAACCAAAAUAAUAACGUUCCGGUAAGGGAAUAAACAACAGAAACAUUAAUGUUCCGGCAAGGGAAUCAACAACAGAAACAUUAACAUCCUGGCAAGGGAAUCAACAACAUAAAUAAUAACAUCCCGGUAAGGGAAUCAAUAAUAGAAACAAUAACUUCCCGGCAAGGGAAUCAACAAUACCUAAUAAGGUCACGGAACACCAAGGAAAAAAGACAAUAACCUCAAUGACAUAACAAGAUAAGAAUAAGUGCGUAAUAACUACACUGAUACCAUAACAGUUGGACAUGUAAUAUAUUUGCACGAAACAACAGAUGAACUUACAAUCAAGGAGUAUCCAAACAGUAAGGAAGUUAACAUGAAUCAAAUAAUUACAAUUUAAGGAAAUAUCAACUAAUCAUAAGAUACAUAUCUUCUUUCCAAUUAAGACCGAUUAAUUACAUGAGAUAUAACAUUUAUGAUUUCCAAAUAAAGGCGAGCUGUUAGGAUGGAUAAUAUGACUAUAGAAAGAUAAUUGUCUUUAGUUAAACACGUAAAAGUCAAUUAAACGGAAAUAAUAAAUCGAAAAGGGCAAACAAAUACCAAAUAAGACAUAUAGGGGUGAAACUCAUAACAGGGAACUCAAUCGUAUCAAUAUCAUUAUCACACUCGGGGAUUUCAAGGGUCUAAGAGCCGAAAGGGGGCAAUUUACCACAAAUAAAUCCGAGCACGCACUCGUCACCUCACGUACAUGGAAUACAAUCAACAGAGAAGACUCAAAUCCUAAGGGGAAGUCCCCCACACAAGUUUAGGCAAGAUAGUUACCUCAAACCAGCUAAAAUCAACUAGCAACUAUGUUCUAGCCACGAGUUCUUGACUCCAAAUGGCCCAAAUCUAUUCAAUUAAAU
This 900-nucleotide long non-coding RNA is filed under the name Nicotiana benthamiana. RNAcentral describes it as "long non-coding RNA (NBEN_LNC039730)". The record is from RNAcentral. Lineage: Eukaryota; Viridiplantae; Streptophyta; Magnoliopsida; Solanales; Solanaceae.